ACGCACGCUGGCGGCGUGCUUCACACAUGCAAGUCGAGCGGUAAGGCUCCUUCGGGAGUCCACGAGCGGCGAACGGGUGAGUAACACGUGAGUAAUCUGCCCUUCACUUCGGGAUAACCACCGGAAACGGUGGCUAAUACCGAAUACGACCAGUCUUCGCAUGAGGUGCUGGUGGAAAGUCUUUUCGGUGAAGGAUGUGCUCGCGGCCUAUCAGCUUGUUGGUGGGGUAAUGGCCUACCAAGGCUUCGACGGGUAGCCGGCCUGAGAGGGUGACCGGCCACACUGGGACUGAGACACGGCCCAGACUCCUACGGGAGGCAGCAGUGGGGAAUAUUGGACAAUGGGCGAAAGCCUGAUCCAGCAACGCCGCGUGAGGGAUGACGGCCUUCGGGUUGUAAACCUCGUUCAGUACCGACGAAGCGCCCUGUCGGGUGGUGACGGUAGGUACAGAAGAAGGACCGGCCAACUACGUG
Molecule: ribosomal RNA, 473 nt
Filed under: uncultured bacterium
Lineage: Bacteria
Description: partial 16S ribosomal RNA
Rfam family: Bacterial small subunit ribosomal RNA
Source: RNAcentral